UCCAAGGAAGCUACCACCUGUGUCAAGGAGUGCAAGCACACCUGAGCCUAACUGAGUCCCCACCAGGGACCCUCCCUGUGGCUCGGUUCCUGCAUUUUACAGCUAGCAGGCAAUUCUCCAAAGUGAUCUGCAGGAAAUAAAUCAACUCUAAACCCCUGGGUCCCCAGCAGUGUCCUCACAGCCCGCUACUGUCACCUGAACCCACCAUAACAUGAAACAAAUCUUCCUUAUUUGGGGAAGUCCACUAUGUGCCUGCUCAUUUGUACAGGGACUUCUUUCUCCCUGCAGCUGUAUCAGCCUAAAUGGGCCAAGGCCCUGGGGAGGCCAGCCAUUGCAAUGACUGCAUGAUGGCUGAUGGACUGAAUCCAACACAAGACUGGUGGCACAACCAUGAGCCUCUUGGGGAUGGAGAGUGAACAUACAUUGGGUAUGUGGGCUAGGAAAGUGCCCAGCUCUGGUACACUGGUGGCUCUCACUAUUCCUUCCACUCCAAUGUAGGAGCAUACCCAAGGCUGGUUUAUGGAUGUACAGGUCUGCAGCUACUCAGAAGGGCCCCAUGCUGGGUUUAGGACGCUACUGUCAUCAUGGUUGUCUUAGUCAGGGUUUCUAUUCCUGCACAAACAUCAUGACCAAGAAGCAAGUUGGGGAGGAAAGGGUUUAUUCAGCUUACACUUCCACCUUGCUGUUCAUCACCAAAGGAAGUCAGGACAGGAACUCACACAGGGCAGGAACUUGGGGCAGGCAGGAGUCGUGGAGGGGUGCUGCUUACUGGCUUGCUUCCCCUGGCUUGCUCAGCUUGCUUUCUUAUAGAACCCAAGACCACCAGCCCAGGUAUGGCACCACCCACAAUGGGCUAGUCCCUCCCCUCUUGAUCACUAAUUGAGAAAAUGCCUUACAGUUGGGUCUCAUGGAGGCAUUUCCUCAAAGGAGGCUCCUUUCUCUGUGAUAACUCCAGCUUGUGUCAAGUUGACAUUGUACCAGCCAGUACCGGUACAAUGGUAGAGUUACUAAUCUUCAACAAGAUCUGUGGUUUCAUUUGUACUGGGCCCUAUAAAUCACAUGGCUAGGUCUAGGUGUGUGCUCGAGACUCCUUCAUCCUCACUCUGUCUAAGCAUAAACUGAGUCACAGGAGCCUCUAUUUAGCAUUGAUCUCCCACUUACUAGCUAGAUAAUGUGGGAGCCACUCUUCAAAUUCAUUUUCGUGCCCGUAAAAUUAUGGUGCCUAUCCCAAACAUGGCAUUAACAAGCCUGACCCAGGCUCAGGGGUCUGCAUACAGCAUGGAGAUCUACAGUAAAUGCUAGCUCCCUCUUCACCCUUGCCUUCAGCUCAGUCUUUUUUUUUUCUACAGAUUUCUUCAUGUCCAAAUACACUCAGUAAAGGACAAGAGCACACCCAGCGCUGUCUAGGGCAUUACAGAAUGGCAGGGACUGAGAACCUAGCAAACAGCAGAGUAUUGGAUGCCAGGAUCAUCCGGAGGGGAGAGAGCUGGGCUACACAGUGACACCUUCAGAACCCUGGAAUCGACUGUUACAGUUGCCCUUCUCUGGGCAUGCUCUUGUCCUUUUCUGCGUAUGUUUGGACGUGAAGAAAUCUGCCUACAGUAGAAGGCACACUCUAGGCAUCUGCUGUCCCGGGGCCAGACUUGAGUCCUAAUUUGGGGGCUGCCUUAGGGAAUGGAAGAGCAAUGUUGGGAUGGGCCUUUGGAGUCAGAGAGAUUUGAGGCCCAGAUCUGUUGUCUCAGGAUCCUAGUCCAAGUUGCUUAGGCUGCCGGAAUCUCCAUUCCUCACCGUCUAACAGGGUAAGAAUGGGUACACUGAGCUUUAGGAGAAUGGCACAGGUGGUGCCAAGGAAGUAUAGUCACUGCUUACUGAGCUGGCAAGAGAGCCAAGUGGUCGAAGACACUUGUUGCUAGGACCGACAGCCUGCAUUUGAUCCCAAGGACUCGCAUGGUAGGAGAGACCUGAUCCCUGCCAGUUAUCCUCAGACCUCUACAUGCACACAAAUAAAUAAUUAAAAGCCAUUGCAUUUAAACAAAUAUGGGUGGAAGGUUACCACUGGAGCGACCUCCACCAACAGCGGCAGUUUGGUUUGAAGCUUUCACUUUUCAAAGGAAGUGCUGUGAAUUAACUUCCUCUCAGCGAGGCCCUGUCCUUUUUAGCAAAGGAAUUGUGGGAAUAAUUCACAAACAGCAUGCAUUUGUUUUGCCUGAGACAUGCGUGUAAUACACACGGAAAUGCAUUCUAAGAUUGGUGUGACGGUUUGCUCCACAGAGAAGAAAAUGCAGCAUGGCAUGUAAGGUCAUACCUUCAAAGUCACAGUCCUGUAAGAGGCGAAGCGAAGCUGAGAUUCAGGCCCAACUGUACUGCUCUGUGGACUCAUGCAUAGACAGCAUCUAAACCAAAUAAAGUUUAGGAGGUAAAA
Rattus norvegicus (Norway rat) is the source of this 2422-nucleotide non-coding RNA. Lineage: Eukaryota; Metazoa; Chordata; Mammalia; Rodentia; Muridae. The record is from RefSeq and is a predicted model, not a curated record.